This 395-nucleotide ribosomal RNA is filed under the name uncultured bacterium. Its description in RNAcentral is "bacterial SSU rRNA". It matches the Rfam family "Bacterial small subunit ribosomal RNA", at positions 741 to 1129 of the family's 1533-position model. The record is from RNAcentral.
UGACGCUGAGGCCCGAAAGCGUGGGGAGCAAACAGGAUUAGAUACCCUGGUAGUCCACGCUGUAAACUAUGGACACUAGGUAUGGGGAGUAUCGACCCUCUCCGUGCCGAAGCUAACGCUUCAAGCGUCCCGCCUGGGGACUACGGUCGCAAGACUAAAACUCAAAGGAGUUGACGGGGGCCCGCACAAGCAGCGGAGCGUGUGGUUUAAUUCGAUGCAACGCGAAGAACCUUACCAGGGCUUGACACGUCGGAAGUAGUGAACCGAAAGGGGAACAACCUGUCAAGUCAGGAGCCGUCACAGGUGCUGCAUGGUUGUCGUCCGCUCGUGCCGUGAGGCGUCGGGUUAAGUCCCAUAACGAGCGCAACCCUUGUCGCCAGUUGUUUUUUCUGGCG